GGUGGAGUGCCAGUUCGAGUCGGCGGCCGAGGCGGCGGCGGUGGUGGCGCGCCUGCGACAGACGGAGGUCGCCGACGGCCGGCUCGUCUCGGCGGAGACGCUCCUCGCGCAGCGGCCGGCGGGCGCGCUCGACCGCCGUGCUCUCCUCAAGAACAUGACACGGCUGCACGUGCGUGGCAUACAGAGGACGGCCACCGCGCCGGAGCUGCAACAGCUGUUCACUGGCUGCGAUGACGUCAGCAUUCCGGCCAACAACCAGCGCGGAAACAACGGUUACGCGUUCGUGCAGUUCCCCGACCGGCAGUCAGCUGCUGCAAUGGCGUCCCAGCAGCUGACGCUGCACGACAAAC
Long non-coding RNA from Pollicipes pollicipes, 350 nucleotides. RefSeq lists it as uncharacterized. The record is from RefSeq and is a predicted model, not a curated record. The transcript has 3 exons. NCBI's taxonomy places the organism in Eukaryota, Metazoa, Arthropoda, Thecostraca, Pollicipedomorpha, Pollicipedidae.